UUAUGCUAGAAUUAGUCGCUGUAUGACGGAGCGAUGCCGAGUGUGGGAUGAAGCGGCUUUGCCGUGUAAACCACUGUCAGGAGAUAGAAACAAUGAUCAUCUUCAGAGGAAGGGGCGACUAACUCUGUGCCAGCAGCCGCGGUAAUACUG
RNAcentral lists this ribosomal RNA (150 nucleotides) under uncultured Pseudomonas sp. Its description in RNAcentral is "partial 16S ribosomal RNA". It matches the Rfam family "Bacterial small subunit ribosomal RNA", at positions 351 to 528 of the family's 1533-position model. Lineage: Bacteria; Pseudomonadati; Pseudomonadota; Gammaproteobacteria; Pseudomonadales; Pseudomonadaceae. The record is from RNAcentral.